Molecule: ribosomal RNA, 465 nt
Filed under: uncultured bacterium
Lineage: Bacteria
Description: bacterial SSU rRNA
Rfam family: Bacterial small subunit ribosomal RNA
Source: RNAcentral
CCUACGGGAUGCACCAGUGGGGAAUUGUUCACAAUGGGCGCAAGCCUGAUGACGCAACGCCGCGUGGGGGAUGAAGGUCCUCGGAUUGUAAACCCCUGUCGAAUGGGACGAAAGACUCUGGAGCUAAUCAUCCGGAGAGUGACGGUACCGUUAAAGGAAGCCACGGCUAACUCUGUGCCAGCAGCCGCGGUAAUACAGAGGUGGCAAGCGUUGUUCGGAAUUACUGGGCGUAAAGGGCGCGUAGGCGGCCUUCUAAGUCAGACGUGAAAUCCCCCGGCUUAACCUGGGAACUGCGUCUGAUACUGGGAGGCUUGAGUAUGGGAGAGGGAUGUAGAAUUCCAGGUGUAGCGGUGAAAUGCGUAGAUAUCUGGAGGAAUACCGGUGGCGAAGGCGGCAUCCUGGAACAUUACUGACGCUGAGGCGCGAAAGCGUGGGGAGCAAACAGGAUUAGAUACCCCGGUAGUC